Astatotilapia calliptera (eastern happy) is the source of this 1438-nucleotide long non-coding RNA. NCBI's taxonomy places the organism in Eukaryota, Metazoa, Chordata, Actinopteri, Cichliformes, Cichlidae. The record is from Ensembl.
GUGUCUCCAAACAGCCAUCUCUUUCCUGACAAUUCGCUUUGUGCAUAUUCUCUUACAUAUGAUAAGUCAAUAUUGAAACACCUGCGGCUUUUGGUCAGGUGCGGCUAAUGUAUGUACAAAACAGGAUUUUCCCCUGAUUUUAGCUUGUGCGGCUAAUAUUUAGGUGCGCUCUGUAGUCCGGGAAAUACGGUAAUUAUAAAUAUGCAUAUAAAUAUGCUAGGAUGAGAUAGCUGACUUCAUCUAACUAGCAAAUGUUGUCCAGGCUACGUUGGUGAUGCAGUUUUUUUUAAUGUGUAUGAUAUUUUUGUCAUGCGAUUUUAAAGCCGGUCCUACAACCGCAUCCAAGAAUAACAUGCAGCUUAUCUCAGAACUGUCGGUGAAAAUUAUUCUUGGAGCUAGGUUUAAUUGAGCUGCAUUUUAAAGAGGUGCAAUUUUACAAUUUGUGUAUAUUUUCUAAGUUCACUAUUUUGUCAUGUGUUGAGAAAAACACAGAUUUUAAAAUUACAUGGUCUAAUAUUUACAUUUAGCAUAACUGCAACAUGCUUUUUUUUUUUUUUUUUUUAAAGACUCGAAAGGACUUGAAAUUCAAAGUUUCAGACUUGAGACUUGACUCGGACUUUUACACCAGUGACUUGAGACUCGACUCUGACUUGCCUGACAUUACUUGAGACUUGACUUGAGACUUGAGGAUAAAGACUUGAGACUUACUUGAGACUUGCAAAACAAUGACUUGGGCCCACCUCUGGUUCCUAGCAGCGUUUUGCUUCAUUUUUGCAUUUAUGUGUGGACGUAGCCUUAGAAUAUUUCUGAUUUUUUUUUAAAGCAAGUGUUCAUAGUAUUCUUCACUGACAUUAUUCAUUUCUAGCUGAUACGUGAAUAAAGAUUUUAUGUGGUUUCAUAUUUGCACAGUAUUUGCUCUCAGUGUGAUCCUUGAUGCCCCCUUGCAGCAAGAGCAGCAGUUCGGAAUUUCUGAGUAGUACACCGAAUUUAAAGACAGUUUGUCUUAUGCUGGAUAAACGGUUUAGAAAUGUACUGUAGCUGUAACCUUUUCCAACAUCUCUACGUUGCUUCUUAUUAGUCUAACUUGUUAUGAUUUAGUCAUGACUUGGAUUGGACUAGUAUUGCUAUUUUUUUUUUUUUAUAGGGAGGAUUUACAUGUGACUUACAUGAAAUCACAUCGCUUUUUAUGAAUAAAAAAAGCGCUUCUACACCUGUAUUUCUGUAUUUGCUCAUAUUAUUUGAACACUCUGUUACCUCACAAUAUUGCUAUCUGCUUUCACUCAGUAUGACAGGGCUGUAGUUGAAUGCAAAGACUACAACGCAAGCUACCAAAAUGUCCGGGAAAUGUCAAGAAGAGUGAGGGCUACAGAGGCAGAUGUUCCCAACUCACCUUUCCUGUUGACUGCUCUCCUGUUAUCUUCCUCUCCUAUUCCCCUUA